Molecule: long non-coding RNA, 414 nt
Organism: Canis lupus familiaris (dog)
Lineage: Eukaryota; Metazoa; Chordata; Mammalia; Carnivora; Canidae
Exons: 3
Source: RefSeq, a predicted model, not a curated record
UGGAAUAUGAUAGGAAAAUAUUAAUGAUGCAGUUCUUUCUUUUUUUUCCCCAGGAGUUUUGCCUUUACUUCUGCAGAUAUUGAAAAUUUGUUCAAGGUCUUGACUUUUUAUGAAUUUGGAUUUAUGGCUCCAAAUUAUUCAGAGGAUUUAAUAAAGAGAGAACAACAUUUCUUUUACCCAAGUUUUGCCUCAUGUAACUUCUCAACAGUGGAAUUUUUUUAAAAGCAGGUGGGGGCUUUGUGAGGUGCGUAGGUCAUCACGGUGGAGCCCUUGCGAAUGGGAUUUGCUCCUAUGAAAAAAAGAUCUCACAGAGCUGCCUGGCCCCUUCCACCACGUGAAGAUACAAGGAGAAGUCUUGCCACCUGGAAGAGGCCCUCUACUCAACCAUGCUGGCUGGCACAGUGAUCUCAGACU